RNAcentral lists this ribosomal RNA (2214 nucleotides) under Triticum aestivum (bread wheat). RNAcentral describes it as "partial small subunit ribosomal RNA". The record is from RNAcentral. Lineage: Eukaryota; Viridiplantae; Streptophyta; Magnoliopsida; Poales; Poaceae.
AUGGCGCCCCUGAAGAAGCUCUUCCAUACCUCACUUCUCCUGCUAGUAUGCGCAGCCAAGGCGGCCAACCCCGAAGCGGAAGCGGAAGCACUUCUCCGAUGGAAGUCCACUUUGGUUGGCGCCAACUCGCUAUCCUCAUGGUCGACCGCGAAUUCCACCUGCUCUUGGUUCGGCGUCGCCUGUGACGCUGCCGGACACGUUACGGAGCUCAGCCUUCCCAACGCCGGCCUCAACGGUACGCUCGAUUACUUGUAUUCGGCAGCACUCCGGAACCUCACCAAGAUCAAACUCAACAAAAAUAUUCUUGCUGGCGCCAUCCCGGCAAACAUAUCCAUGUUGCUCACGCUCGCCUUUCUGGACUUGGGCAGCAACAGUCUUGUUGGCUCCAUACCUCGCUCAUUCUCCAGGCUCCAAAACCUCAAGGCACUGCGGCUCUCUGCAAAUAAUCUCACAGGAGGAAUCCCGGAGGAGCUGGGGAUGAUAUCUGGGUUGGGGAAUCUUGUACUGUACGGCAAUCCCCUUGGCGGGUCGAUCCCAGCAUCACUCGGGCAGCUUCAGUUGCUACAUAUGCUCCACAUACAAAACGCUAGUCUGGUUUCCACUCUUCCACCCGAGCUGGGGAACCUUACUAGUCUUAAGUACAUGAUCCUGUCACAGAAUCAGUUAUAUGGAAGUUUGCCACCAUCUUUUGCCAGGAUACAAACAUUGUUAUUUUUUCACAUGCAUGGAAAUAAUAUCAAUGGUAGCAUCCCGUCAGAGAUGUUUACAAAUUGUACCAAGCUCGAGCGUUUCAUUGUAUAUGGAAACUUGUUAACUGGAAGCAUCUCAUCGCAUAUCAUCAAGUGCAAGGAGCUCGAGUUUUUUGAUGGAUCCGGAAACCUUUUAACUGGAAGCAUCCCAAGGGAGAUAGGGAGCAUGCGAAACUUGCAGGCAUUGUUCUUGUGGGAAAAUCACCUUACUGGAAUUAUGCCAUCAGAUAUUGGUAAUGCAACAUCUUUGAAAUUCCUUGACGUCAGCUCCAACCAUCUAGAGGGUGAGCUUCCUAGAACUAUCUCCUUGCUGGUAAAUCUUGUUGCUCUCAGCUUGUCUGGCAACAAGUUUACGGGUACCAUUCCUAAUCCUGACAGCAAGCAGUUGCCAGUUGUCAAGAUUGCCAACGGUAAAGACAAUGGCAGCUUCUCGGGAGAAUCACGAUUUCCUGGUUGCCUCUGGAAUUUGAAAGAUUUACAAGCCUUGGAUUUGUCAGGCAAUGCUUUUGCUGGGGAAAUUCCAACCUCAACUUUCAACAACUCUUCACUAAGGUCACUGCAAUUGUCAGGCAACUACUUCACAGGUUGCUUUCCAGCGGUGUUGAAGAACUUAAAAAGCCUUGUUGUUUUGGAUCUCAGUAACAAUAAGAUUUCCGGUGUAAUUCCUCCAUGGAUAGGGGAAAGCAAACCUUCGUUGAGGAUUCUCAUGCUACGGGCAAACAUGUUCUACGGAAGUAUUCCUUGGCAGGAGCUAUCACUCCUCCCCCGUCUCCAACUGCUUGAUCUUGCUGAAAAUAAUUUUGUAGGUUCCAUACCAGAAAGUUUGGUCAACUUCUCCUUGAUGGGACAGACUUUUGUGAUGCAACCAGUUGUAACAAACAUCAUAGUACUUACCAACUAUAGAUAUUAUUAUUUUUACAAUGGCAGCAUGGACAUAAUUUGGAAGGGACGGGAGUACACUUUUAAGGGAAGACAUGCCUUUGUGACUGGUAUUGAUCUCUCUGGUAAUUCUCUAUCCGGUGAGAUCCCUUCAGAGUUAACAAGUCUCAAAGGCAUGCAGUUUUUGAAUAUUUCAAGAAAUAACCUAUCUGGUAGUAUCCCCAAGGACAUUGGCAACCUAAAGUUAUUAGAGUCCCUUGACCUCUCUUGGAACAAAUUAACAGAGAUACCUACAGGAAGUCAGCUCCAAACACUUGAGGACCCAUCGAUCUACAGCAAUAAUCUUGGACUUUGUGGCCCUCCAUUGAGCAUUCCAUGCACAAACAAUUCGAGUAGUACAGAAGCAGUUGAUGGCGACCAUGAACAUGAAACGGUGUGGCUGUACUACUCGGUGAUUGCUGGAACUGUCUUCGGUUUCUGGGUAUGGUUUGGAGCAUUGUUCUUCUGCAAGAUCUGGCGGUUUGCGUUCUUCAGUUGCAUCGAUGCCAUGCAGCAGAAAGUUGUGCACAAGAUGAAGCAUACCUGA